AUCUACGGCCAUACCACCCUGAACGCGCCCGAUCUCGUCUGAUCUCGGAAGCUAAGCAGGGUCAGGCCUGGUUAUCACUUGGAUGGGAGAAAAGUAUAGUUCCUGGUAAAGAUAUUCAUUUUGGGAGUUGAAGAAA
Molecule: ribosomal RNA, 136 nt
Filed under: Ochotona princeps (American pika)
Lineage: Eukaryota; Metazoa; Chordata; Mammalia; Lagomorpha; Ochotonidae
Source: RNAcentral